Long non-coding RNA from Biomphalaria glabrata, 1382 nucleotides. RefSeq lists it as uncharacterized. Lineage: Eukaryota; Metazoa; Mollusca; Gastropoda; Planorbidae. The record is from RefSeq and is a predicted model, not a curated record. The transcript has 5 exons.
UUCAGUGUACAGUUGACCAGUGGUCAGUACCAUAUCUGUCUGUGUGACAGCUGAAGGUCUUUGUGGUCUGUCGUCUAAUUAUAUUUUUAUUCCUGUACCUGGGACGGCCUGUAAGUGUAGAAAUAUUUUAUAUUUUUUACUAGAUCUAUACUAUGUGUAAGGUAGUUAUUUUAUUUUCUACUUGGACUAUUUGUCAUAAUAGUUGGCAACAUGCUGUACGGAAGAUGGCGACGUCCAUCAGUCCUAAUAGAAUAUAGAUCUAAUAUAGUUUUGCAUUUAUGUAUUGCAGGCUAUUGUUUCUGCUGUGUUACUGCUUAUAGCUGCUGUUAGCUGCUGCUGUUGAAUAUUACUGCUAAUACUAAUAGCUGCUGUUUAUAACUGCUAUUGUUAGAUCUAUUCUAAUUCUAGGGAAUCUAGAAUCUAGGAUUCUAGUGUUAUUUUGUUUCUGCUAUUGAUAGUUUUGUUAUUGUUUCUGUAGAUCUAUUCUAGAUAGAUCUAAUUCUAGGGAAGCUAGUGUUACUUUGUUUCUGCUAUUGAUAGUUUUGUUAUUGUUUCUGUAGAUCUAUUCUAGAACUAAUUCUAGGGAAGCUUAAGCUAGUGUUAUUUUGUUUCUUUAUUAUCGCCUUAGUAAACUUAGUUAUAUUUAUAGUCUGUUUCUCAGUUCUGUUCUUAGUGAAUAGUAAGGUACUGAGCCUAAGGAUAUAAGAUAUUCUUGUUUUAGUGUUAGUGUUAUGAGUGUAAUAGUAGGAUAUUGUAGAUCUAGACUAGUUUAUUGUAGUGUGUUUGUGUAGACCUAGGUCUAGUAUAGUAUACUGUAUUUUAUUAGUUGGUUUGAUCAGUUUGUGUUAGAUAGUUUGGUUAGUUUGUUAGUGUUUGUAGUGGUGUAGAUUUAGAGGGUUUUAGUUAGUUGCUGAGUUCAGUUGUAGUGGUUAGUCAAAUAAACUCUUUGCAAAAACUUUUAGGAUGAUAAUUAAUGUUUCGAAGGACUACUUUAUAGAACAACUAAUCCUAUAUGAAACAUUAAUCUCCGUAUCCACGAAUGUCUGUUGGACCGUUGAGGCACCAAGCAAGAUUUGUCGACCGUCUCUCUCCAUUUCUCCCUGUACUUGCCUUGUUUAAAACCUCUAUCAAUGAAAGAUUUGUGCAGACUCCAUCCUGUGGGUCAGUUCAUGAACAGAAUGCUAUACACAAAAUGUCAGGAGGCAGGAUUGGUGAAGUGGGAAAUUUCUGACUUUAUAAAUACUGAUGCAUUAAUCGUGUAUAUGUCCAGGUUUUAAAACUGAACGGUGAAGAGUACUGUAAUGGCAUGUUGAAUGAUUUGAAAGAACUGACUAUAGGGCCAUGGUUAACAUUGGAAGCAAUUAUUAAAGUAUCAAACUAAA